GACGAACGCUGGCGGCGUGCUUAACACAUGCAAGUCGCACGGGACCCGCAAGGGUUCAGUGGCAAACGGGUGCGUAACACGUGAGGAACCUGUCCAACGGUGGGGGAUAGCCGGCCCAACGGCCGGGUAAUACCGCGUACGACCUUCGGGGGGCAUCCCCCGAGGGUGAAAGCAGCAAUGCGCCGAUGGAGGGCCUCGCGGCCUAUCAGCUAGUUGGUGAGGUCAUGGCUCACCCAGGCAACGACGGGUAGCUGGUCCGAGAGGAUGACCAGCCACAUUGGGACUGAGACACGGCCCAGACUCCUACGGGAGGCAGCAGUGGGGAAUCUUGCGCAAUGGGCGAAAGCCUGACGCAGCGACGCCGCGUGUGGGAUGAAGGUCUUCGGAUUGUAAACCACUGUCGGGAGGGACGAAGCUCUGACGGUACCUCCAAAGGAAGCACCGGCUAACUCUGUGCCAGCAGCCGCCGUAA
RNAcentral lists this ribosomal RNA (472 nucleotides) under uncultured bacterium. RNAcentral describes it as "partial 16S ribosomal RNA". It matches the Rfam family "Bacterial small subunit ribosomal RNA", at positions 28 to 523 of the family's 1533-position model. The record is from RNAcentral.